CGAGCACGCGCGUGUGGCAUAUCAAUAAGCGGAGGAAAAGAAACUAACAAGGAUUCCCUUAGUAACGGCGAGUGAAGCGGGAAGAGCUCAAAUUUGAAAUCUUCAAGGUUCUAUCUUGACGAAUUGUAGUUUAUAGAAGUGUUUUCUGUUAGUGGAGUGGCAAAAGUUCUUUGGAAUAGGACAUCAUAGAGGGUGAGAAUCCCGUAUUUGGUCAUUCCUCCUAGCGUUGUGAUACACUUUCAACGAGUCGGAUUGUUUGGGAAUGCAGUCCAAAAUGGGUGGUAAAUUUCAUCUAAAGCUAAAUAUUGGCGAGAGACCGAUAGCGAACAAGUACCGUGAGGGAAAGAUGAAAAGAACUUUGAAAAGAGAGUUAAACAGUACGUGAAAUUGUCAAAAGGGAAGCGUUUGACACCAGUGUUGUUUUUCCGAAAAUCAAUUACGAAUGUUUUUAUUUUUGAGGAGUUAUGACUUCAUCGGCUUGCUUCUCUCUUUAUGAAACUUAUUUAAUGCACUUUUCAGGUUAACAAGUCAACAUCAAUUUCUUUUGUUGUAAAAGGGUAUGAGGAAGGUGGCUUUCUCUUCGGCGCAAGUGUUUAUAGCCUUGUACCUCUGCAAUCGGAGAGAUUGAGGUACUGCAGCGUAGACUCCUUCGGGGUUAGAUACGUUUGUGCUAAGUUAUAGCCUUGUAUAGACAACUUGUUGACUAUAGCUCUAGUCAUGUAGCUUACUCGCAUAUAGUAUUUUACCUACGCUUAGGAUGUUGAUGUGAUACUGCGAGC
RNAcentral lists this ribosomal RNA (779 nucleotides) under uncultured Neocallimastigales. Its description in RNAcentral is "partial large subunit ribosomal RNA". It matches the Rfam family "Eukaryotic large subunit ribosomal RNA", at positions 19 to 645 of the family's 3401-position model. Lineage: Eukaryota; Fungi; Neocallimastigomycota; Neocallimastigomycetes; Neocallimastigales. The record is from RNAcentral.